UGGGGAAUUUUGGACAAUGGGCGAAAGCCUGAUCCAGCAAUGCCGCGUGUGUGAAGAAGGCCUUCGGGUUGUAAAGCACUUUUGUCCGGAAAGAAAAUCCUUGGCUCUAAUACAGUCGGGGGAUGACGGUACCGGAAGAAUAAGCACCGGCUAACUACGUGCCAGCAGCCGCGGUAAUACGUAGGGUGCAAGCGUUAAUCGGAAUUACUGGGCGUAAAGCGUGCGCAGGCGGUUUGCUAAGACCGAUGUGAAAUCCCCGGGCUCAACCUGGGAACUGCAUUGGUGACUGGCAGGCUAGAGUAUGGCAGAGGGGGGUAGAAUUCCACGUGUAGCAGUGAAAUGCGUAGAGAUGUGGAGGAAUACCGAUGGCGAAGGCAGCCCCCUGGGCCAAAUACUGACGCUCAUGCACGAAAAGCGUGGGGGAGCAAAACAGGAUUAGAUACCCUGGUAGUCCACGCCCUAAAACGAUGUC
This 472-nucleotide ribosomal RNA is filed under the name uncultured bacterium. Its description in RNAcentral is "partial 16S ribosomal RNA". It matches the Rfam family "Bacterial small subunit ribosomal RNA", at positions 355 to 813 of the family's 1533-position model. The record is from RNAcentral.